RNAcentral lists this ribosomal RNA (438 nucleotides) under Triticum aestivum (bread wheat). RNAcentral describes it as "partial small subunit ribosomal RNA". The record is from RNAcentral. Lineage: Eukaryota; Viridiplantae; Streptophyta; Magnoliopsida; Poales; Poaceae.
AUGGCCGACGCUGUAGACAAGCGCUGGGAGCUUCUGAAGCCAUGGCCGAGCGAAGGGGAGAGCCGCCAUGCUAGACGAGAACAACAACCGUGGCAGGUGAGCAAGAGGAGGACCAUAGGUCAGGGAGUGUUUGGUUUCAGGGAGAUCGUUGGGGAGGAGUUCAUGACCAUGUUCCUAUUCUUGGAGUAUCAAGAUGGUGUGGCCAUCAGGGUUCCCAUCACCAUGCAUGCCAUGCUUGAGCUCCUCAAGAACGCCACCAAGCUGUACCAACUUAUCUUAGAAACAAAGAAGCACCAAGCUGGACUGCUGGCCGAGGAGAUGCAUAUGUGGGCACUUUCUGCUGGCCAAGUUCAGAAGCAAAUUAACUGCUUGUAUUUGCAUAAGCAACAGAGAGAAAAUGUUAGAGAACUUAGCAAAAAAAUGGUACUCGAGGCUUAG